RNAcentral lists this ribosomal RNA (483 nucleotides) under uncultured bacterium. RNAcentral's name for it is "partial 16S ribosomal RNA". It matches the Rfam family "Bacterial small subunit ribosomal RNA", at positions 30 to 506 of the family's 1533-position model. The record is from RNAcentral.
AUUGAACGCUGGCGGCAGGCCUAACACAUGCAAGUCGAGCGGAUGAAGGGAGCUUGCUCCUGGAUUCAGCGGCGGACGGGUGAGUAAUGCCUAGGAAUCUGCCUGGUAGUGGGGGAUAACGUCCGGAAACGGGCGCUAAUACCGCAUACGUCCUGAGGGAGAAAGUGGGGGAUCUUCGGACCUCACGCUAUCAGAUGAGCCUAGGUCGGAUUAGCUAGUUGGUGGGGUAAAGGCCUACCAAGGCGACGAUCCGUAACUGGUCUGAGAGGAUGAUCAGUCAAAGGGGAAGUGAGACACGGCCCAGAUCCGGAGGGGGGCCGGCGUGGGGAAUUUUUGAACAAGGGGCGAAGGCUUAACCCGGCCUGGCGGGGGGUGGAAAGAAGUCUUGGGAAUUGAAAACCAUUUUAGGUUGGGAGAAAGGGAAGUAAGUUAAUACCUGCUUGUUUGGACGUCCCAAAAAGAAUAAGCACCGCCUAUCUUCGG